CGCGCUUUUGGUUGAUAUAAUGGAUGAGGUGUAGAGUAUGACGGAGGAGAGAAUUCUGAUGACAGGGACAGAAUAUUCUUUUUAGAAGAUGAAUUUAGAGGAGGACGAGUGCGGACAGCCUAGCCUCAUGUCGGCAGACCCCGCAUCUGUGACGCGUCCAAGGCAACGGAGCUGCUCCAUAGGCCCAAUCUAGAGCAUCCUCCUCAUCACCUCAUCCUGCGGAUGAAGCCCAUGGCCGUGGCGCCACCCAAGGCUUCCUUCGUCCACCUGUUCGAACCCUAGCCCCGCGCCCCCACGCUUGCCUCUGCUAUGCUCAGUCGCUGCGUGCCUGAGGCCAGUUGCGCGUUGCACGGAGGCAUUAACAUGGAUGUGCACCAUGAAUUAUGAAUUAACGAUCUUGAGGUCUUCUCCAAGGUCGACAUGGGGAAUUUGGCUCCUUCCUCUCCCUGUUUUGCAUCAGAGAUUCCCAACCCCAUGGCGCUAGUGUCAGUGUUCAGUAAUGUCAGGAGUGGUGUACCAUGCUGAUCGUUUCAACAUGAAAUACUUAUGGCAUCAGGAUGCGCCGUGAUCUUUGUUUCAUUGAAAAAGAAUGUUUGAUCCUUGGCUCUGUCCCUCUAUUAUCCAUUUGUACAAGCCUUUAUGCAUUUUCGAGUUUUUUUCCCAUGCCAUCAGUCUUAGCUUUAAUGAAUCAGAUCCCCAGAUUCAAUGUAUUCAGCUACAGCUCGGUUAGGCGUUCUGUUUCCUGUAUCCAUUACAUUAUCUGUACUUUGCUUUGUGCUCUCAUUCAAA
Long non-coding RNA from Panicum hallii, 789 nucleotides. RefSeq lists it as uncharacterized. The record is from RefSeq and is a predicted model, not a curated record. The transcript is spliced from 2 exons. Lineage: Eukaryota; Viridiplantae; Streptophyta; Magnoliopsida; Poales; Poaceae.